This 540-nucleotide small RNA is filed under the name Pongo abelii (Sumatran orangutan). RNAcentral describes it as "processed transcript". Lineage: Eukaryota; Metazoa; Chordata; Mammalia; Primates; Hominidae. The record is from RNAcentral.
GUUUGCGAGCCUCGGGUGGUCCUCAGGGAGGACUGCUUCGUGAAGGCAGGGUCCUCGUGUCCACUACUGUAUCCCCAUUACUCAGUGCCUGGCACGUGGCAUCCACUCCUUACAGCUUUGUGGAGUGAGUCACACAUGCCACACACACAUACACUCUAAAGAGGAACAAGAGUUCAGUGGGCCUCCUUCACUCAAGUGCCAUGGCUGCUUCAACCCAGCCCCAUGUCUCUGCUAGAGAAAUCUGGGGCUGGAGGUCUCUCGGCCAGAACGCGUGGAUGCCCACCCACCACUGAGCCUCAUGGAGUGGCAGUGUCUGGACCCUGGCCAGAGGGCCCUCUACAGGGAAGUGAUGCUGGAGAACCACAGCAGUGUGGCUGGACUAGCAGGAUUCCUGGUUUUCAAGCCUGAGCUGAUCUCCCGGCUGGAGCAGGGAGAAGAGCCGUGGGUCCUCGACCUGCAGGGAGCAGAGGGGACAGAGGCACCAAGGACCUCCAAGACAGAUUCUACGAUUAGGACGGAGAAUAAGCAGGUCUGUGAGGA